Molecule: long non-coding RNA, 496 nt
Organism: Quercus lobata
Lineage: Eukaryota; Viridiplantae; Streptophyta; Magnoliopsida; Fagales; Fagaceae
Exons: 2
Source: RefSeq, a predicted model, not a curated record
UCCGACGCGGCGCCGACACGGCGCGGACGCGGUUCCGACGAGUCCGACACGCCAGCAGUAAAAAAAAAAAAAAAAAAAGGAAAAAAGCACAGAUUUUGACAGAUGGACUUACCAUUACCGUUGAUCUGUGACAACCCUAAAACCAUAAAACAUUUUUAGAAUCUGAAAAUUGGAAGUUCAAACCACAAAACUCAAGUUCUUCACGUCUUCUCCGUUGCUGAAACCCACUUCGCUGCCGCUGCUCUGUUCUUCGCCGGAGUUAGCUCGUGCCGAUCGGCGAGCUCUGACGUCGACGGCGUUCCAUCCGUCCCUUCCGAUCUCCAUCUCUCUCGGCGCGGAACAGGUGAAUUAUUAAAAUGAAUCCUGAAAAAGAAAGUGAGAAUGAGAAAUCAUCUUCUGAGAAUGCUGCUCCUCUAUGGAAAUAUGUUACUAGAUUAGAAAAAGCAAGUGUUGGUGGUGGGAAUGUUUCUUUUAGAUGUAAUUAUUGUGAAAAAAA